Molecule: ribosomal RNA, 253 nt
Filed under: uncultured bacterium
Lineage: Bacteria
Description: partial 16S ribosomal RNA
Rfam family: Bacterial small subunit ribosomal RNA
Source: RNAcentral
UACGUAGGGUGCGAGCGUUGUCCGGAAUUAUUGGGCGUAAGGAGCUCGUAGGCGGUUUGUUGCGUCGGCUGUGAAAUCCCGAGGCUCAACCUCGGGUCUGCAGUCGAUACGAGCAAACUAGAGUGUUGCAGGGGAGACUGGAAUUCCUGGUGUAGCGGUGAAAUGCGCAGAUAUCAGGAGGAACACCGGUGGCGAAGGCGGGUCUCUGGGCAACAACUGGCGCUGUGGAGCGAAAGCGUGGGGAGCGAACAGG